AUUGAACGCUGGCGGCAUGCCUUACACAUGCAAGUCGAACGGCAGCACGGGAGCUUGCUCCUGGUGGCGAGUGGCGAACGGGUGAGUAAUGCAUCGGAACGUGCCCUGGAGUGGGGGAUAACGUAGCGAAAGUUACGCUAAUACCGCAUAUUCUGUGAGCAGGAAAGCAGGGGAUCGCAAGACCUUGCGCUCUGGGAGCGGCCGAUGUCGGAUUAGCUAGUUGGUGGGGUAAAGGCCUACCAAGGCGACGAUCCGUAGCGGGUCUGAGAGGAUGAUCCGCCACACUGGGACUGAGACACGGCCCAGACUCCUACGGGAGGCAGCAGUGGGGAAUUUUGGACAAUGGGCGAAAGCCUGAUCCAGCCAUGCCGCGUGAGUGAAGAAGGCCUCGGUUGUAAG
This 399-nucleotide ribosomal RNA is filed under the name uncultured bacterium. RNAcentral's name for it is "bacterial SSU rRNA". It matches the Rfam family "Bacterial small subunit ribosomal RNA", at positions 29 to 429 of the family's 1533-position model. The record is from RNAcentral.